GGAGAGCUGGCCGAGUGGCUGAAGGCGCACGAUUGCUAAUCGUGUGAGUGGGUAAAACUGCUCCGAGGGUUCAAAUCCCUCGCUCUCCGCCA
Molecule: transfer RNA, 92 nt
Filed under: Deltaproteobacteria bacterium
Lineage: Bacteria; Pseudomonadati; Myxococcota; Myxococcia
Description: tRNA-Ser
Rfam family: tRNA
About the family: Transfer RNA (tRNA) molecules are approximately 80 nucleotides in length. Their secondary structure includes four short double-helical elements and three loops (D, anti-codon, and T loops).
Source: RNAcentral